RNAcentral lists this ribosomal RNA (253 nucleotides) under uncultured bacterium. Its description in RNAcentral is "partial 16S ribosomal RNA". It matches the Rfam family "Bacterial small subunit ribosomal RNA", at positions 524 to 776 of the family's 1533-position model. The record is from RNAcentral.
UACGAAGGGGGCUAGCGUUGCUCGGAUUUACUGGGCGUAAAGGGCGCGUAGGCGGAUUGUUAAGUCGGGGGUGAAAGCCCGGGGCUCAACCCCGGAAUUGCCUUCGAUACUGGCAGUCUUGAGUAUGGGAGAGGUGUGUGGAACUCCGAGUGUAGAGGUGAAAUUCGUAGAUAUUCGGAAGAACACCAGUGGCGAAGGCGACACACUGGCCCAUUACUGACGCUGAGGCGCGAAAGCGUGGGGAGCAAACAGG